Molecule: regulatory RNA element, 28 nt
Organism: Flagellimonas sp.
Lineage: Bacteria; Pseudomonadati; Bacteroidota; Flavobacteriia; Flavobacteriales; Flavobacteriaceae
Rfam family: L19-Flavobacteria ribosomal protein leader
Source: Rfam
UAACCUCUGACGAAACUCGUGUAAGUUA